This 407-nucleotide ribosomal RNA is filed under the name uncultured bacterium. RNAcentral's name for it is "partial 16S ribosomal RNA". It matches the Rfam family "Bacterial small subunit ribosomal RNA", at positions 28 to 526 of the family's 1533-position model. The record is from RNAcentral.
GACGAACGCUGGCGGCGUGCCUAAUACAUGCAAGUAGGACGCAGUUGCGAACGGGUGAGUAACGCUUAGGUAACUGCCUAUUAGAGGGGGAUAACUAUUGGAAACGCUAGCUAAUACCGCAUACUAGUAGAUGGACCUGCGUUGUAUUAGAUAGUAGGUAGGGUAAUGGCCUACCUAGGCGACGAUACAUAGCCGACCUGAGAGGGUGAUCGGCCACCCUGGGACUGAGACACGGCCCAGACUCCUACGGGAGGCAGCAGUAGGGAAUCUUCGGCAAUGGGGGGAACCCUGACCGAGCAACGCCGCGUGAGUGAAUAAGGUUUUCGGAUCGUAAAGCUCUGUUGUUAAGGAAGCGGUACUUAACCAGAAAGGGACGGCUAACUACGUGCCAGCAGCCGCGGUAAUUC